UUUUUAUUUCUCUACUUUUUUAUUUCCAAACCUCUACACACUUCAGACCAUCCUGUUACCGUCUUCCUCUUCUUCUUCUAAUCAAUUUUCUAAAACCUAGUUGAAAAAAUUGGUAAAGACCGAACCUUGAACACUACCACCUCUUUCCAACGCAACCUCCUACAAGAGCCUCAACGAAUGGAAGGAGCCUCUCAGUCGCCGGAAGAGCGAAGUCGGAGACCGAGUGAUAAUGGUCGUGCGACGAUGCGGUGCUCCGACCAUUCUAGUGACGGAGCCUCUCCGACCAUUCCAGUGACCCAGUGAUAAUGGUUGCCGGAAUCGCCGACUCAGUCGAGGAUCCUCUAUUAACUCGAUCAGGGCCGAAUUCGUCUCUAGGCUUCCCGACAAGGUCCAUUCUGGUCUUGACAUUGAGUCCAGUCCCGACAAUAUCCACCUAACUCGGACCAGUGGCUUGAGUGGAGGUUUGUUUCAACUUCAAUUAAAGAAAAAUCAGUUUGGUUACUAAGAAAAUGCACUCAAGGUAUGUGUCAGAGGAGGUUUGUUUGAAAAGUCUAGAGAAUUGUUAGCUGAACUGCAAGGUAAGGGCUACGCCGAAGAUGAGGUAAACUUGUACAGUUGUACUGUUACAGCUAUCAUUUAGUUUCAUAGUCCUAGGUUUUCUAGUUUGUAAUUACUAUGAGAUUUUCUCUUUGAGAGCAUUUGUUUAACCUCAAAUGUGUUGGAAUUAAGUUGCAUCAUCAUUAAAGUUCAGUGUGGAACUAGUUUGGAUUGAAGAAGCUCCUUGGACGCCAAUCCGCCACCGCACUCCAAACCCACACCCACGGUGGCGCCACUGUAGCAAAGCAAAGUGAAGCACAUAUCCAAAAAUGGAGGUAUCGAUACUUGGUGCUAGAAUGCAACAUAUCAUGCCUUGCUCCUUCCCAUUACCAUAUUCCUUCUCUCCUUCCAUCUCAACUACACCAAAUAAUUCUUAUCUCAUUUAUGCUAAAGCUUCACCAACAACGACAACAACUUUUGUUAAAGGAGAAAACAUAGAACAACCCAACAAUGGCGAAGUGAAACGUAACAGGACUCCUUCAAAAUCUUACUCAGCCAGAAAGUUUGCUAUUCUUGAAAUUCAACUAUCCCCUGAUUUGGAUUCUGCUCUUACAAGCUAUGGAGAUAUUUUAAAAGUUCAGGACUUGAAUGUAAUAUUACGUCAUUUUGGAAUGCGAAAGAGAUGGCACAAGCUUUCCCAGGAUUCUUUUUGCUUUUAUUGCAGUGCUUCAAUUGGAUGUAACAAAAUAUGAAGAUUUUUCCUGCAUCAUUUAGCAACUAUAUAAAGUUCACGGGAGAGACUCACAAUCCUGUGGGUGCACUAGAAGUUUAUAAUAGCAUUCAGGAUUAAUCAACCAAAAAGAAUAUCGUCAUCUGCAAUUCUGUUCUUGGGAGUUUGGUUAGGAAUGGAAAGUUUGAUCACAACAUUAAGUUUUUUGGUCAGAUGAAGCAGGGUGGUUUAAUACCAGAUGUUGUUACAUAUAGUACUUUACUUUCAGGUUGUAUCAAAGCUAAACAAGGCUAUCCAAUAGCAAUGGAACUUGUUCAGAAGUUGCAGCAAAAUGAUGUGCAGAUGGACAAUGAAAUUUAUGGGACUCUUCAUUUAUCCUUGUUCACUUCAGGAAGACCUUAAAAUAAUAAUACAAACAGAUAAGUAUUUAUCUUAGUUUUCCAUAUGGAUUCAUGGGUUAUUAUUUUUUUGUUAUAACUGUGUUGGAAGUAAAAUCAUUUGGAUUACAUGUUUGCAUUUGGUUAUGUUGUUUUUGUCAUUGGCAUAUGCUCCAUCAUACUUAGUGGAAUCUUGUCAUUUUUUGCUUAUUAUUUUUUUUCAUUUGCUUAAAGCAAUUUUCUAUACCAUUUGCCAAUUAUUUGUUUGAAUUCUCCCCUUGUCAUUGUAUAUAUAGUCCAAAUCCAAUAAAUCUAUAAAUUGGACUUACUACUGUUAUAUGCCCUUACCAUUGUUAUUUACAUGAAUUCUAGUUUUACUCCAGUCAUUGGUUCAUAAAGGAGAAAUUAAUUCCACAAAUCUAUGUUGACCAGUAGUUUGGUUUAGAGAAAAGUUUUGCAUUUAAUCAACUAGACUAUGUUCUUACUUGUUCUGGUUCAUCAACUUGGCUAAUGGAAUAUCCACUAAUUAAAUAUCUAUGAGCUGAGUACUCAAGUCUCAGAGCAUCUUAUUAAUUUAAGUAUUACUAGUGAAUAGUUGUUUAAAUCUGAUUUCAAUUUGGCUGGUGCCUUGUUACUUAAUGAAAUUCUUUGAUGAUAUUUCUUAUGAACAGUCUAAACAUGUGCUCUAACUAUCUUUGAUAGAAAAUGCUCUGUUGAGGUUAGGUUUCUUCAUUCAUGUUUUGUCUAGUGCAACUUAAGCAGUUUAUUCAUUUUAGGCUUGUUGUUCAGAAACUUUAACCCAAGGAUCCUGCACUAGCAAUUAAAAUCAUUGAAGAGAAACCAUUCGUUUGAGCAGCUUUUAUUUACACUUUAAUUGUAAACAUGUUUAAUUUAUUAAGUAUGUUUGACAGUGGUUAUUGUAAUCCUAGUGAUGACUAAGUGAUUAUAAUGCAUUUAUAUAGUAAAUGCAAUAUGAUCUUCUACUUUAGUGGCAGCUAUGAUUAUGGCAGUGAAAACAUUUGAUAACUACUGAAUUUUAAUUGGAUUUUUUUUUUGUCGAUAAUAGAUACUUGUGACAGACUUUGAAUUCUUUAGUUUUGACUAUUAGGAACUGGUGUAGUGCUAUGAAUGUAUGGCCUGUCCUUAUUGUUGAGACAAGCAAUGCUUUCAGGGCUUUAUAUAGGGCAUUCUAACAUCAUCUGAACAGAAGGGCUUUUUAUUUCCCUUGUGCACACUAUAAAUGAUUAAUGGAAAUAUUGUAGUACUUUUAUUACUACAAAUUUUAUCUAUUAAGUAGCUGCUAGAUCUGUUAUGUUUUUCUAUGAAUCUGUUAGUCUUACUCUAAUUUUUAGCUCAUUAUAAGUGAUAUAUUCUCUUUUUCUAUUUAACACUUCAAUAUAUUUCAAUAAAGUUCAGUUCAUUCAUUCUCUAUCCUCUAUGAUUUUCUCAUUCACAUUCAUUUCUGAAUUUAACUGUUUGUUUUGUGGGAAAUUCAUAUGCUUAGAUUUUUCUUUCUUAAUAGGCAGAUAUGACCAUGUUAGAAGACGAACUACCAACAAAAAGAUGACUUUCAUCAGCCCUUGUCAAGGUAUAUUGAGAUGAUUUCUUUGGAGCAAUUCUUGACAACAUUUGUAGUUGAGGCCUUUAGAAUGGAAGAAUGUAUUUCACUAAUUUUUGUAUACAUUUCUUGUUUUGUAUUUAGUGAUAAAGGAAUCUGAAUUGGGCAUAAAUUAUGUUGUAAUAUGAUUUCUUAAGCCUAGACUAGUAGACUAAAUAUUUUAAUUACAUUUGAGUAAUUAAUAAAAAUCUAUAUAUGUUACCUUA
This is an RNA transcript of Humulus lupulus (European hop), 3468 nucleotides long. It is a transcript of the gene named pentatricopeptide repeat-containing protein At1g10910, chloroplastic-like, with no coding region annotated. The record is from RefSeq and is a predicted model, not a curated record. Lineage: Eukaryota; Viridiplantae; Streptophyta; Magnoliopsida; Rosales; Cannabaceae. The transcript has 6 exons.